Molecule: RNase P RNA, 336 nt
Filed under: Ramlibacter sp. Leaf400
Lineage: Bacteria; Pseudomonadati; Pseudomonadota; Betaproteobacteria; Burkholderiales; Comamonadaceae
Description: Bacterial RNase P class A
Rfam family: Bacterial RNase P class A
About the family: Ribonuclease P (RNase P) is a ubiquitous endoribonuclease, found in archaea, bacteria and eukarya as well as chloroplasts and mitochondria. Its best characterised activity is the generation of mature 5'-ends of tRNAs by cleaving the 5'-leader elements of precursor-tRNAs.
Source: Rfam by way of RNAcentral
GAAGCACGCCAGACCGCCGCUGGUGCGAUCACCGAAAGGUGGCACUGGAGGAAGGUCCGGACUGCACAGGGCAGCGUAGCAGGCAACACCUGUCCACCGCGAGGUGAGGAUCAGAGCAACAGAGACGAGUCGGUGGGUUUCCGAAAGGGGGCUUGCCGGGUGAAACGGGCAAUCUCUACGCGCAGCAAUACCAAAUAGGCCGGCAUCGAUGUGGCUCCGCGGAGCCGGCGGGUAGGUAGCACCGAGCCGGUGGGGCGACCCCCGGCCCAGAGGAAUGGCGGUCACGGCGCGGGCAACCGCGCCGCACAGAAUCCGGCCUAUCGGCGCGCUUCACAC